CGCCAGACUCCUACGGGAGGCAGCAGUGGGGGAUAUUGCACAAUGGGGGAAACCCUGAUGCAGCGACGCCGCGUGAGUGAGGAAGUAUUUCGGUAUGUAAAGCUCUAUCAGCAGGGAAGAAAAAAGACGGUACCUGACUAAGAAGCCCCGGCUAACUACGUGCCAGCAGCCGCGGUAAUACGUAGGGGGCAAGCGUUAUCCGGAUUUACUGGGUGUAAAGGGGGCGCAGACGGCGAUGCAAGCCAGGAGUGAAAGCCCGGGGCCCAACCCCGGGACUGCUCUUGGAACUGCGUGGCUGGAGUGCAGGAGGGGCAGGCGGAAUUCCUGGUGUAGCGGUGAAAUGCGUAGAGAUCAGGAGGAACACCGGUGGCGAAGGCGGCCUGCUGGACUGCAACUGACGUUGAGGCCCGAAAGCGUGGGGAGCAAACAGGAUUAGAUACCCGAGUACC
This 449-nucleotide ribosomal RNA is filed under the name uncultured bacterium. RNAcentral describes it as "bacterial SSU rRNA". It matches the Rfam family "Bacterial small subunit ribosomal RNA", at positions 329 to 794 of the family's 1533-position model. The record is from RNAcentral.